This 465-nucleotide ribosomal RNA is filed under the name uncultured Klebsiella sp. RNAcentral's name for it is "bacterial SSU rRNA". It matches the Rfam family "Bacterial small subunit ribosomal RNA", at positions 338 to 795 of the family's 1533-position model. The record is from RNAcentral. Lineage: Bacteria; Pseudomonadati; Pseudomonadota; Gammaproteobacteria; Enterobacterales; Enterobacteriaceae.
CCUACGGGGGGCUGCAGUAGGGAAUAUUGCACAAUGGGCGCAAGCCUGAUGCAGCCAUGCCGCGUGUGUGAAGAAGGCCUUCGGGUUGUAAAGCACUUUCAGCGGGGAGGAAGGCGGUGAGGUUAAUAACCUCAUCGAUUGACGUUACCCGCAGAAGAAGCACCGGCUAACUCCGUGCCAGCAGCCGCGGUAAUACGGAGGGUGCAAGCGUUAAUCGGAAUUACUGGGCGUAAAGCGCACGCAGGCGGUCUGUCAAGUCGGAUGUGAAAUCCCCGGGCUCAACCUGGGAACUGCAUUCGAAACUGGCAGGCUAGAGUCUUGUAGAGGGGGGUGGAAUGCCAGGUGUAGCGGUGAAAUGCGUAGAGAUCUGGAGGAAUACCGGUGGCGAAGGCGGCCCCCUGGCCAAAGACUGACGCGCAGGUGCGAAAGCGUGGGGAGCAAACAGGAUUAGAUACCCGGGUAGUC